This 1333-nucleotide ribosomal RNA is filed under the name metagenome. Its description in RNAcentral is "bacterial LSU rRNA". It matches the Rfam family "Bacterial large subunit ribosomal RNA", at positions 1431 to 2871 of the family's 2925-position model. The record is from RNAcentral.
AAAUAUUCCUGCACCGCCCGGCAUUAAAAGCGACGCAGCGUACUGUUUGCUACGGGUUAAUGGCUAUCCUGUAGCAGACUGCAACUGCCGAGAAAAGCGAGCCGCGGCGACCGUACCGCAAACCGACACAGGUAGACGGGUUGAGUAUACUAAGGCGCGCGAGUGAGCCGUGGUUAAGGAACUCGGCAAUUAACCCCGUAACUUCGGGAGAAGGGGUGCUGCCGGCAACGGCAGCCGCAGAGAAAUGGCCCAAGCGACUGUUUAACAAAAACACAGCACUCUGCUAACACGUGAAGUGGAAGUAUAGGGUGUGACACCUGCCCGGUGCCGGAAGGUUAAGAGGAGAUGUCAAGCGCAAGCUGCAGCAUUGAAUCGAAGCCCCGGUAAACGGCGGCCGUAACGAUAACGGUCCUAAGGUAGCGAAAUUCCUUGUCGGGUAAGUUCCGACCUGCACGAAUGGUGUAACGAUUUGGGCACUGUCUCAACCACGGGCUCGGCGAAAUUGUGGUACCGGUGAAGACGCCGGUUACCCGCAUAUGGACGGAAAGACCCUAUGCACCUUUACUGUAGCUUACUAUUGGGUUUGGUUGCAUCAUGCGUAGGAUAGGUGGGAGGCAGCGAUGCGGCGCUUUCGGGUGUCGCGGAGCCAAUGGUGAAAUACCACCCUUGAUGCAACUGGAUUCUAACCCGGCGGAGUGUAUCCGCGGGGACAGUGGUAGGUGGGCAGUUUGACUGGGGCGGUCGCCUCCUAAAGAGUAACGGAGGCUUCCCAAGGUUCCCUCAGCACGGUUGGUAAUCGUGCGUAGAGCGCAAAGGCAGAAGGGAGCUUGACUGCGAGAGAGACAUCUCGAGCAGGUGCGAAAGCAGGGCUUAGUGAUCCGGCGGCACUGUGUGGAAAGGCCGUCGCUCAAAGGAUAAAAGGUACGCUAAGGAUAACAGGCUGAUCUUCCCCAAGAGUUCACAUCGACGGGAAGGUUUGGCACCUCGAUGUCGGCUCAUCGCAUCCUGGGGCUGGAGGAGGUCCCAAGGGUUUGGCUGUUCGCCAAUUAAAGCGGUACGUGAGCUGGGUUCAGAACGUCGUGAGACAGUUCGGUCCCUAUCCUAUGCGGGCGUAAGAUACUUGAGGGGACUCGUUCUUAGUACGAGAGGACCGGAAUGACCGGACCGACGGUGUAUCUGUUGUCACGCCAGUGGCACGGCAGAGUAGCCAUGUCCGGAAAGGAUAAGCGCUGAAAGCAUCUCAAGCGCGAAACCUACCCCAAGAUGUGGUAUCUCCCAACAUUAAGUUGGUAAGGACCCGGGGAGAUGACCCGGUUGAUAGGCUGCAGGUGGA